UCCCUGGUGGUGCAGUGGGUUAAGGAUCCAGCAUUGUCACUGCUGUGGUAUAGGUUCAAUCCCUGACCCAGGAA
This 74-nucleotide transfer RNA is filed under the name Sus scrofa (pig). It matches the Rfam family "tRNA". From Rfam's summary of the family: Transfer RNA (tRNA) molecules are approximately 80 nucleotides in length. The record is from Rfam by way of RNAcentral. Lineage: Eukaryota; Metazoa; Chordata; Mammalia; Artiodactyla; Suidae.